RNAcentral lists this long non-coding RNA (376 nucleotides) under Mytilus galloprovincialis (Mediterranean mussel). The record is from RNAcentral. Lineage: Eukaryota; Metazoa; Mollusca; Bivalvia; Mytilida; Mytilidae.
AUUAUCUUGAAUAUUAUUAUAGAUGGAGAUAAACUGUAAACAGCAAUAAUGUUCAGCAAAGUAAGAUUUACAAAUAAGUCAACAUGACCAAAAUGGUCAGUUGACCCCUUUAGGAGUUAUUGCCCUUUAUAGUAAAUUUUUAACCAUUUUUCGUAAAUCUUAGUUAACUUUUACAAAAAUCUUCUCCUCUGAAACUACUGGGCCAAAUUUUACCAAACAUAGCCAGAAUCAUUAUUAGGCUAUCUAGUUUAAAAAUUGUGGUUUGUGACCGGGCAAACCAACCAAGAUGGCCGCUACGGCUAAAAAUAGAACAUAGGGGUAAAAUGCAGUUUUUGGCUUAUAACUCAAAAACCAAAGCAUUUAGAGCAAAUCUGAC